UAAGAUGAUUGGAAUUUUGGUUUUUCCGA
Molecule: non-coding RNA, 29 nt
Filed under: Mus musculus (house mouse)
Lineage: Eukaryota; Metazoa; Chordata; Mammalia; Rodentia; Muridae
Source: RNAcentral